Molecule: ribosomal RNA, 492 nt
Filed under: uncultured bacterium
Lineage: Bacteria
Description: partial 16S ribosomal RNA
Rfam family: Bacterial small subunit ribosomal RNA
Source: RNAcentral
AGUGAACGCUGGCGGUAGGCCUAACACAUGCAAGUCGAACGGCAGCACAGUAAGAGCUUGCUCUUCCGGGUGGCGAGUGGCGGACGGGUGAGGAAUACAUCGGAAUCUACUUUUUCGUGGGGGAUAACGUAGGGAAACUUACGAUAAUACCGCAUACGACCUACGGGUGAAAGCAGGGGAUCUUCGGACCUUGCGCGAUUGAAUGCGCCGAUGUCGGAUUAGCUAGUUGGCGGGGUAAAGGCCCACCAAGGCGACGAUCCGUAGCUGGUCUGAGAGGAUGAUCAGCCACACUGGAACUGAGACGCGGUCCAGACUCCUAAGGGAGGGAGCAGUGGGGAAUAUUAGACAAUGGGCGGAAGCCUGGUCCAGCCAUACCGCGUGGGUGAAGGAGGCCUUCGGUUUGUAAAGCCCUUUUGUUGGGAAAGAAAAGCAGCAGGUUAAUACCCCGCUGUUCUGACGGUACCCAAAGAAUAAGCACCGGCUAACUUCGUG